UACAGAGGGUGCGAGCGUUAAUCGGAAUUACUGGGCGUAAAGCGCACGUAGGCGGCUUGGUAUGUCGGGGGUGAAAUCCCCGGGCUCAACCUGGGAACUGCAUCCGAAACUGCCUUGCUUGAGUAUGGGAGAGGGAAGUGGAAUUUCCGGUGUAGCGGUGAAAUGCGUAGAUAUCGGAAGGAACAUCAGUGGCGAAAGCGACUUCCUGGACCAAUACUGACACUCAAGUGCGAAAGCGUGGGGAGCAAACAGG
RNAcentral lists this ribosomal RNA (253 nucleotides) under uncultured bacterium. RNAcentral describes it as "partial 16S ribosomal RNA". It matches the Rfam family "Bacterial small subunit ribosomal RNA", at positions 524 to 776 of the family's 1533-position model. The record is from RNAcentral.